AUUGAACGCUGGCGGCAUGCUUUACACAUGCAAGUCGAACGGCAGCGCGGGCUUCGGCCUGGCGGCGAGUGGCGAACGGGUGAGUAAUACAUCGGAACGUGCCCAGUGGUGGGGGAUAGCUCGGCGAAAGCCGGAUUAAUACCGCAUACGACCUGAGGGUGAAAGCGGGGGAUCUUCGGACCUCGCGCUAUUGGAGCGGCCGAUGGCAGAUUAGCUAGUUGGUGGGGUAAAGGCCUACCAAGGCGACGAUCUGUAGCUGGUCUGAGAGGACGACCAGCCACACUGGGACUGAGACACGGCCCAGACUCCUACGGGAGGCAGCAGUGGGGAAUUUUGGACAAUGGGCGAAAGCCUGAUCCAGCAAUGCCGCGUGUGUGAUGAAGGCCUUCGGGUUGUAAAGCACUUUUGGCGGGAACGAAAAGGACUGUGCCAAUACCACGGUUCGAUGACGGUACCCGCAGAAUAAGCACCGGCUAACUACGUG
Molecule: ribosomal RNA, 484 nt
Filed under: uncultured bacterium
Lineage: Bacteria
Description: partial 16S ribosomal RNA
Rfam family: Bacterial small subunit ribosomal RNA
Source: RNAcentral